This 1346-nucleotide ribosomal RNA is filed under the name uncultured bacterium. RNAcentral's name for it is "partial 16S ribosomal RNA". It matches the Rfam family "Bacterial small subunit ribosomal RNA", at positions 28 to 1381 of the family's 1533-position model. The record is from RNAcentral.
GACGAACGCUGGCGGCGUGCUUAACACAUGCAAGUCGAACGGAAAGGCCCUGCUUUUGUGGGGUGCUCGAGUGGCGAACGGGUGAGUAACACGUGAGUAACCUGCCCUUGACUUUGGGAUAACUUCAGGAAACCGGGGCUAAUACCGGAUAGGAGCUCCUGCUGCAUGGUGGGGGUUGGAAAGUUUCGGCGGUUGGGGAUGGACUCGCGGCUUAUCAGCUUGUUGGUGGGGUAGUGGCUUACCAAGGCUUUGACGGGUAGCCGGCCUGAGAGGGUGACCGGCCACAUUGGGACUGAGAUACGGCCCAGACUCCUACGGGAGGCAGCAGUGGGGAAUAUUGCACAAUGGGCGGAAGCCUGAUGCAGCAACGCCGCGUGCGGGAUGACGGCCUUCGGGUUGUAAACCGCUUUCGCCUGUGACGAAGCGUGAGUGACGGUAAUGGGUAAAGAAGCACCGGCUAACUACGUGCCAGCAGCCGCGGUGAUACGUAGGGUGCGAGCGUUGUCCGGAUUUAUUGGGCGUAAAGGGCUCGUAGGUGGUUGAUCGCGUCGGAAGUGUAAUCUUGGGGCUUAACCCUGAGCGUGCUUUCGAUACGGGUUGACUUGAGGAAGGUAGGGGAGAAUGGAAUUCCUGGUGGAGCGGUGGAAUGCGCAGAUAUCAGGAGGAACACCAGUGGCGAAGGCGGUUCUCUGGGCCUUUCCUGACGCUGAGGAGCGAAAGCGUGGGGAGCGAACAGGCUUAGAUACCCUGGUAGUCCACGCUGUAAACGGUGGGUACUAGGUGUGGGGUCCAUUCCACGGGUUCCGUGCCGUAGCUAACGCUUUAAGUACCCCGCCUGGGGAGUACGGCCGCAAGGCUAAAACUCAAAGGAAUUGACGGGGCCCCGCACAAGCGGCGGAGCAUGCGGAUUAAUUCGAUGCAACGCGUAGAACCUUACCUGGGUUUGACAUGGAUCGGGAGUGCUCAGAGAUGGGUGUGCCUCUUUUGGGGUCGGUUCACAGGUGGUGCAUGGCUGUCGUCAGCUCGUGUCGUGAGAUGUUGGGUUAAGUCCCGCAACGAGCGCAACCCUUGUUCACUGUUGCCAGCACGUUAUGGUGGGGACUCAGUGGAGACCGCCGGGGUCAACUCGGAGGAAGGUGGGGAUGACGUCAAGUCAUCAUGCCCCUUAUGUCCAGGGCUUCACGCAUGCUACAAUGGCUGGUACAGAGAGUGGCGAGCCUGUGAGGGUGAGCGAAUCUCGGAAAGUCGGUCUCAGUUCGGAUUGGGGUCUGCAACUCGACCUCAUGAAGUCGGAGUCGCUAGUAAUCGCAGAUCAGCAACGCUGCGGUGAAUACGUUCCCGGGGCU